Molecule: ribosomal RNA, 497 nt
Filed under: uncultured bacterium
Lineage: Bacteria
Description: partial 16S ribosomal RNA
Rfam family: Bacterial small subunit ribosomal RNA
Source: RNAcentral
GAUGAACGCUGGCGGCGUGCCUAAUACAUGCAAGUCGAGCGAACGGACGAGAAGCUUGCUUCUCUGAUGUUAGCGGCGGACGGGUGAGUAACACGUGGAUAACCUACCUAUAAGACUGGGAUAACUUCGGGAAACCGUAGCUAAUACCGGAUAAUAUUUUGAACCGCAUGGUUCAAAAGUGAAAGACGGUGUUGCUGUCACUUAUAGAUGGAUCCGCGCUGCAUUAGCUAGUUGGUAAGGUAACGGCUUACCAAGGCAACGAUGCAUAGCCGACCUGAGAGGGUGAUCGGCCACACUGGAACUGAGACACGGUCCAGACUCCUACGGGAGGCAGCAGUAGGGAAUCUUCCGCAAUGGGCGAAAGCCUGACGGAGCAACGCCGCGUGAGUGAUGAAGGUCUUCGGAUCGUAAAACUCUGUUAUUAGGGAAGAACAUAUGUGUAAGUAACUGUGCACAUCUUGACGGUACCUAAUCAGAAAGCCACGGCUAACUACGUG